Molecule: microRNA precursor, 91 nt
Filed under: Caenorhabditis brenneri
Lineage: Eukaryota; Metazoa; Nematoda; Chromadorea; Rhabditida; Rhabditidae
Description: pre miRNA CBN34086
Source: RNAcentral
AAGUUGGAUUGGACCUGUGCUUUAUUUUGCCGCAGUCGUAUUUCAAAGCGAUGAUUAUCACCGGGUAAAAAUAAGGCACAGGUCCGGUCCG